CCCCCAGGCCUAACACAUGCAAGUCGAGCGGUAGAGAGAAGCUUGCUUAUCUUGAGAGCGGCGGACGGGUGAGUAAUGCCUAGGAAUCUGCCCGGUAGUGGGGGAUAACGUUCGGAAACGGACGCUAAUACCGCAUACGUCCUACGGGAGAAAGCAGGGGACCUUCGGGCCUUCCGCUAUCAGAUGAGCCUAGGUCGGAUUAGCUAGUUGGUGGGGUAAUGGCUCACCAAGGCGACGAUCCGUAAGUGGUCUGAGAGGAUGAUCAGUCACACUGGAACUGAGACCCGGUCCAGACUAUUCCGGGAGGCAGCACCCCCUCCACUCGACAAUGGGCAAAAACCUGGCCCCAACCCUCUCCAAUGCUGGAGACUUACCCCCCCCGUCCAGCUUUUUGUUCAGGGCGACCGCCCUUGAAACCUCAGAACUAUGGACGGUCGGCCGCAAGAAUAAGCCAAGGGUUC
This 461-nucleotide ribosomal RNA is filed under the name uncultured bacterium. RNAcentral's name for it is "bacterial SSU rRNA". The stretch from base 17 to 312 matches the Rfam family "Bacterial small subunit ribosomal RNA", at positions 55 to 353 of the family's 1533-position model. The record is from RNAcentral.